UCAAAGAAUAAAUACCUUUCUUUUUUCUACGAAUAUAAUCCAUCCUUUUUAGGAAACAAGAGGAUAAAUCGUUUCUCAAUAUGAUUUCACUUAAUGACGUGUCAUGCUCCUUUCCUUGCCUCAGUAACUGGUUUUAUAAUUCUGAAACGCGAUGCGCACAUGUAUAUUAAAUUUACUACCUGUAAAGAAUCGUAUAUGUACAUUACGCACUAAUUCAGUACCCUAGAACUAUGCUGCAUAACUCAUAAGAACUAAAAUGUCUGUUUGGUUUUAACUACCAUUCAACUAUACGCAAACUCUUCUAUAUGUAUAUCACACAUCACAUAACCCGUUCUCACGCGACAUCAUCACGUGUCGUCUAUCCCAUGAACAAAGAAGACAGUUGCAAUUGCGUAUGUGUGCAGGAGUAUGAUCGCGCGAACUUUGACCGUCCCCUACGGUCGUUGCACGACGUUCAAUCUCCCUUUGGUGAAAGAAGCGUUCGCGUUCACGCGGCAAACGUUCUUCAACACGUGCCAACGGGACCCGCCGACGCUCCAACACGAGUAUACCGUAUGGACGCACGCGUAAACGUGCGCGUAUAUGUUUAUGUGCAUGUAUUCACGGUUGGUUCAUUCAUAAAAGCGGAACUUCCUGAAGUACGCGGACUCCUCUCACCUGGUCGUCAUGACGACGUGUAUUUUCAUUCAUAACGAGACCCGCGUAUUACGCACGCACGCCGACGGAGAUUUCCUUGGUAUGUGAGUCACUGUGUAAUAGUGCUAUAAAAUAGUCGCGGAUGAAAGACGUUUUGUCAACAAGAAGCCUGGAUUAUCGUCAGAGAGCCGCGUAAAUACUAUCGACUUAUUUUCACGAGGGUCGACUCCUCUCUCCCCGAAAUGUGUAACCACUUAACUGCCAGAAAAGAUAAAGAACAAUAGGUAUAGAUAGACUUCGCAAAUAGCAGUGGAUUGUUAUAAAUAGAGUCGGACAAUGGUACAGUGUUGGAAUAUAAUUAUGUACGUAUUUGAUAAUAACGAUGAUUAAACGAAAGGAGACUUGUGAAUAUUAAGAUACAAAUGCUGUGAAUGUUUUGAAUAACAGUCGGUAACAUUUCAACUCGAAAACCCGAAUAUAGAUGAUGAUA
Bombus pyrosoma is the source of this 1126-nucleotide long non-coding RNA. RefSeq lists it as uncharacterized. Lineage: Eukaryota; Metazoa; Arthropoda; Insecta; Hymenoptera; Apidae. The record is from RefSeq and is a predicted model, not a curated record. The transcript is spliced from 3 exons.